Molecule: non-coding RNA, 2189 nt
Organism: Pantherophis guttatus
Lineage: Eukaryota; Metazoa; Chordata; Lepidosauria; Squamata; Colubridae
Source: RefSeq, a predicted model, not a curated record
GUCAGAAUUGCUGAAUCCUACCUCUGCCUUUGAGACGAGUGGCCGGGAGGCGGAGCUGGGUGUGAUGAGUGACGUUGAGUUGGCCACACCCAUCCAGUCACAUGACCACCUGGCCACGCCUACCCAGCCAGAGAACCAGUUGUUAAAUUAUUUAAAUCCCACUAAUGCAUGAUGGUUGUUCUUCGGUUCAACCUAACCUACAAGUAAGCUGACUAAAUCAGUCUCCUCUAGUUUAUGUGUUCUUACUUGGAAGUAAAGUCUGCUUCACCUAGAAGGAUUUACUACAGAAGAUGAAAGAAAUGAAAGAAAAUGCAGCCAAAUUGCUGGAGUGACCCGUCUCUCAGAACAAUGGGGCAGCAAAGGAUCCCAAUCUGACUCCCCCAUCCCAAGGCCAGUCUCCUGCCUUUCUAUUCCCCGUCAUGGAGGUGACAUCCAAGACAGGCCCUGUGUUGGGUCUUGCAGCCUUAAUUCUCCAGCCUUGGAGUCCAUGAUCCUGUUGUGGUCUGCCAGCAGCCCGUGGAGAUAGCAGCGGAGUUGGACAGUGAGGAGGUUGGGGAGGACAAUGGGCCAGUCCUGGAGUCUGGGGAAGGCCCAGACAAGGGCUCUGCGUCGGAGGCAGAGAUGGGGCCAGGGCCAUCUGGGAGUGAUGUGUGGACUCCGGAGCCUCCAGAGGCAGACAGCAGAGAGGCAGAGGAACAGGAGGAGCCUGUUCCUAGUGCAUGCAUGUGCAGAGCUGCCAGAAGGCAAGAGCAGCUAAAGCAAAAAGGACGACUCGGGAGUAAGGCCAGGAGAUGAUUGGCGCCUCCCAUAAGGCUUAAAAGAGCAGCAAAGGCUCUUGGGCUCUUUGUAGGAAAGCAAUGUUGCUAAAUCUGUUUUCCAGUCGGCUUCUCUUGUUUCUGAACUUCGUGGGGCUUUGCCAAGAAAGGCCUUUGGCAGGGUGCCAAAGAAGAUAAAGGUUUGUGAUAAGCCCGAAGGACAUUUUCUAAAGGACUUGUUUGGGAAUUAAUUUGGACUAAGCUGGGAAUGAAGUAAUUCUCAACUGUUAUAAUAAAAUAGUUUUGUUUGAGACUAAUUGUGUCCUGUAAUGACUAGGUGAGCCUAGGUCACAACAGAUCCAGAGAGAUCUGAUGGAAUUUAUUAAGAAAACAGCAGCACUGAAAAAAGUGACUUCCAACUGAUCCUUGCACUUAUGACCAUUGGUGUCCUCCCUACAGUCACAUGAUCAAAAAUUAGGUGCUUAGCAACCGGCAUGUAUUUACGAUGGUUGCAGCAUCUUGGGAGUCGUGAUUGCCAUUUGAGACUUUCACCGCCAGCUACCAACAAGCAACGGGAUUCGCGCUUAACCGUGGCAGAAAAGGUUGUAAAAUUGGGCAUGAAUCACUUAACCAACGCCUUGAUUCGUGAUGGAAAUUCAGUUUUCAACUGUGAUCAUAAGCUGACGAUAUCUGGAUAACAACUUUGUGUUAGGAUGUCAUCUAGUGACCAGCAUAAAUAAUUCACAUAAUUUAUACAGCGAUAAUGUUUGAUUCGGCAGGGUGAUGCUAAGAACUUUUGACGUUAUUGGUCUAACUCAGGGGUCCCCAAACUUGACAGCUUUAAGAUUUGUGGACUUCAGCUCCCAGAAUUCUCUAGCCAGUUAUGCUGGUUGGAGAAUUCUGGAAGUUGAAGUCCACAAGUUGUAAAGCUUCCUAGUUUGAAGACCUCUGGUCUAACUGGACGGUGUCCCUGGGCGGUCAAAAAUGCCACAAUCAUUGCAACUGAAGUCCCACCCCUUUUUAAUGUCAAUUGUUAAAAAAAGGAUAGGGCUUUAAUCGCUUUAAGCGGCCGCCAUCUUGACUUUUUUGACUCCUUUCCUGUGGACAACCCUGCGUUGUCUUGAAGGGAGGGAGGGAAAGAGAGCAAGAGAGGCAUUAUUAUUAGUCUUUUUAAGAGCAACUCAAAUGUUAUUCUGUUUGCUUUAUUAGCACUUAAGAUUUGUAUGCUUGGCUUUACUCUUCUGAUCGUGUAAAGGCAACUGACCCAGUUUCUUUUGAGUUUUCAGCAUUGGGCAAAAAUCUCCCUUUUCCCCUUCAUGUCGGCUUCAUUGUUUCUCUAUAAUUUACAUUUACCCUUUUGUAAUCUAUGCUGCGUACUCUUGCAUGGUGGAAAGGUGAUCGAAGGAAUUAAAUUAAACGACUGAUGAUAUUCGA